GCGGCGCUGCGGCGGGAAGCGGAGAGAGCGGCCGGCACGGCGCGGGGCCGCGCUUGGGUGGCGGCGCUGAGGGGAGCGCCGCGCUGUCCCUCCUCGUGUCAGACUGGAGCGGUGCGCGGAGCGGGCGGGGGAAACGAGAGGGGUUCCUCUGCCUGCGGCGUUGAGAGGAAAACUCCCCUCCGACCCAGGAUUACACGUUUGGAAAAGACAUGAUGCUGCCCGGGCUGCAUGGCUUCAGAACGCCUGACAGAGGUUUGCACUGAAAAGGUCAUUCAGGAGGGAUCUGCCCAUUCUUCAGGUUAACAGCAGGCACGAAGCCGCUCCCACGCUCACUGUGUGGCAAUGUGUGGUGCCUUUCUUAGAGCUUAGGAUGUUUCCUGGAAGAGCAUUCGGGUCAGACCCUUUGGUGUGCCCUUAGCUCAGCCUCACACUGAGCGGUAUUGCAAUGUGAGGCUGGUGCCUCCCACUGCACUACUCUGCUGGAAACAUCCGCUGCUUCCAGCUGGGGGCAGGUGUUUAAUCUCAAGGUGCACUGCCAAUUGGAGAUGAGAAUUGGACUUUGAAGCUGUAAAGAAGCGGUGCUCCUGAUGCUCCAAUAACGCUGAAUUGCUUAGGGCUAAAGCAGAGAAGAAAUCAAAACUUUCAUAUAAUAAAAACUAAAGCGUCCCUGGCACUGCGGUUAUCUCAAAGGGCCUUAUGAAGCAAUGCCAGGUGAAGGGCCACCUUUAAGCUCAGCAGUGUUCUGUGCACUGAUGUACCUUUGGACACAGAGCUUUUUGGCCAAGACACCAGAGUUAUCCAUAAUCGUUUAAUGGGGCUAUUAUGUAUGUUUAAUGAUCACCCGCAAUGGCACGAGAAAUGUGCUCUUAACAGUCAUCGCUUAAAGCCAUUAAGGAAAGAUAAAAUGCAUCAUACAUUGAACUCACCCUUGGCCCAACUCUGGGUAGCAGUUCAGUCAAUUUAAGGUUGUAAAGAAUGUGUGAGUCUUCCCUACAUACCCCAGUAAAGUACAUUCCUGAAGGUGCAGGGAAAGACCUGCCCAGCAAUAGCACACUGUUAGUGGCUCCUGCCAUCAUUCUGCCUUCAGUAAUGCUGUGUAACAGAGGGCUGUGACUUAGGAAACACGGUUUCAUUCCUAACCUUUAAGCAGAAGGCAAUACGGGAACCAUACGGGAUUUUUCCAAACUGCAUCUGUCCACAAUAGAUAUGAUUAAGCGCAUUUUUGUUUAGCUAUUGAUUUAUUCACCUGGCUUCCUCAAAUGUCAGAUAUAUGUAUGUAUUUUUGUCCAAGAAAAAUAGGUCUGUUUGGAGUAUUGAUUGCAACAGUGCAGCCUGCAGGACGGCUCAGCCACAGCUUUGGUUUGCACUUCAAGACAUUGCAUUCUUCUUUAAUACAUGAACCCGCACCUCCUUUGGAUGUAGAUGUAAGAUCUGCUGCCAGGAUUAUAUGGUAGUCUUUUUCAUUUUAUUUUUAAUCUAGGAAAAAAAGGCUUUUCCCAUUUUUUUUUUUUAAUUAUGAGCAUGCAGUAAUCUCCCCUUAAACCUGCUUAGAGUUACAGAUUUUGUAUUCAUUUUGUGUUUGUAAACAAAAUGAUGGAAAUGCUGUUCU
This is a long non-coding RNA of Gallus gallus (chicken), 1609 nucleotides long. NCBI's taxonomy places the organism in Eukaryota, Metazoa, Chordata, Aves, Galliformes, Phasianidae. The record is from Ensembl.